Molecule: ribosomal RNA, 490 nt
Filed under: uncultured bacterium
Lineage: Bacteria
Description: partial 16S ribosomal RNA
Rfam family: Bacterial small subunit ribosomal RNA
Source: RNAcentral
AUUGAACGCUGGCGGCAGGCCUAACACAUGCAAGUCGAACGGUAACAGGGAUCAGCUUGCUGAUUCGCUGACGAGUGGCGGACGGGUGAGUAAUGUCUGGGAAACUGCCUGAUGGAGGGGGAUAACUACUGGAAACGGUAGCUAAUACCGCAUAACGUCGCAAGACCAAAGAGGGGGACCUUCGGGCAUCUUGCCAUCGGAUGUGCCCAGAUGGGAUUAGCUAGUAGGUGGGGUAACGGCUCACCUAGGCGACGAUCCCUAGCUGGUCUGAGAGGAUGACCAGCCACACUGGAACUGAGACACGGUCCAGACUCCUACGGGAGGCAGCAGUGGGGAAUAUUGCACAAUGGGCGCAAGCCUGAUGCAGCCAUGCCGCGUGUAUGAAGAAGGCCUUCGGGUUGUAAAGUACUUUCAGCGGGGAGGAAGGGAGUAAAGUUAAUACCUUUGCUCAUUGACGUUACCCGCAGAAGAAGCACCGGCUAACUCCGUG